GUGACCUAAAAUCAAACAGAUUAUGGCUGGAGAGAUCAGUUGUGUUCCAAAUAUGUUAAACACGGAAAUUCAGCUAGUAUGUUGAGUUUCCUUGUUAUACACCAAGAAAGCAGAGUGUCAAUAACAGUAGAGAAGUAAAUGCAUUAUUUUAUAUUGGUCUGGGAAACCCUGCAGGGCAUUAUGUUUUCUGCCUGGUCACACCCAUUAUUUAGUAGAGAUAAUUUCUUGUUAACCAUCCAAAAAAAGAAUUC
Molecule: long non-coding RNA, 251 nt
Filed under: Bos taurus (domestic cattle)
Lineage: Eukaryota; Metazoa; Chordata; Mammalia; Artiodactyla; Bovidae
Description: long non-coding RNA NONBTAT006790
Source: RNAcentral